UAAUUUUUAAAAGUGGAAAAAAUUAUUCAGCUAUAAUGGGUCGAUGUGAGAAGCUUUGCCAUCUCUCUAGAAAUUCCUAAAUUUCUAGGGUUUCAAUAUCUCGUUGAUGACAAUGGUACAGUCACAAUUUACGGAAAGAGUUUCUUCUUGCACUACGGAAGGGGUUUUUCUUGUAUGAUGUUGAUGGAGGCUAAUGGUUUGGCGAGUCAAAAGAGGAGGGCGCAGAGACUGAGAUGUUCGAUGCAGGACUACGAUUGGGGUCGAUUCGGCUGUCAAUCGUGUGUUACGAGGCUGUUUUCUCUAAAUUCUAGGGUCGAUGUAGACGAAGCCAAGCCUUACGCUGAGUUCUGGAUGGGCAUUCACAAGUCUAGACCCUUCUUCAUCCUCCAAAGCUUCAAUAAUAAGGUGUCGAUUUGUUCAGACUAUGUGGGUUUGAGUUUGAACUCGUGGAUUGCCAAAGUCCCUGGUGUUCUUGGCGAUAAGGUUAUUAGAAAUGGGGCGUUGCUCUUCCUUUCUCGUUCAAGGUACUUUUAGUUUCAAAGGCAUUGUCAAUACAGGCCCAUCCUGAUAAGGAAUUUGCUGGGUUUCUGCACAAGACUCUGCCUGAUGUCUUCAAGGUUGAUAAUCAUAAGCCUGAAAUGGCUUUGGCACUAACAGAAUUCGAGGCCCUCUGUGGGUUUAUUAGUCUCAAGGUGUGUGCAGUUCACCCAGUCUGUGACUAUGGAAGGGCUAUCACUUGAUGGGUUUUUGUUGGAGGCAAGUGUUCCCUAUUUCUUUUCAUUUUUUAGUCAUUCAUUUCUGCAAUUAGCAAUACAGUGAAUUUUACUUGCAUUGUAUAACUGUUGUGAUUAUAUCGAUUAGUUCACACAUGAAGUUCUACAGUUAAAAAUCCAAUAUGCAAAAAAAUUUACAAAUGUAAUGUUAUUUGCUGAUAUGGAGUUAUCUUUCUUUUUCUUUUUGGUUGAAUUUUGAUGGGCUACACAUAAUGGGGAAUUUCCCUCUCCUUGACCAUGACCCUCCCCACCCUAACUAUCAUGUUUAAAAAAAAUUAAUUUUUUGUCCCCUUAUCCCAUGUUUAUUAAUGAUGUGACUGUGUUGUUAUUAAAGCUGUAGAAUGUGCUGAACUACUGGAGCUUGGUUCAAGAAUGACUAGAUUAAUAGUGACCUUCUUUCAUAUUCUAUGGCUUACCAACCUUUUCAGAAACUGAUAUAGAUCUUUUCAGCAAUCAAAUGUCAAAGUGUGCAGGUACAAGCUUGGUAUUUUUCUUACCACUGUUGGUAGAGAUGGCCUUUGACGCUACUGGACAGAUUUUCAUGAAAUUGAGGUUAAGAGUGUGCUUGAUCCUUGUGAGGAUGAAAAUGAUGGCAUUCAAGACGAUGAUGUGAGCUUGGGAGCUGAUUAUGUACAAAGGGAUGAGCAUUCGGAAUCUGAUAGUGAGUGUCGGAAAGACCUCUUUGAUGAAUCAAUAUGUGAAUAAGAAGUUUAGCAAUCAAUGCAAGGCAAUAAUCGGAGCUGAUUUCUGACUAAAGAAAUGCAGUUUGAAGAUAGGCUCUUUGCUUUACAGUUAUUUUAUUUACAUCACUGUAGAAAAGUUGGCUCGAACUCUGGAGGCAAAAGACAUGUCUGACAAUAAAAUUGUGAGUGCAGACGGUGACAACAAAAGUCAUUCAAGAACAAGUGAAGCCUGCCUCAUAGUAACAUGGUUGCUUACACAUUGAAGAAGAGGAGAAUAGAGGUACAAGAUGAACAAGGAUAAUGUGGUAUUAUUGAAUCACAAUGUGGAAAAUUAUGCCUAGGUAACAGCUAAAGUGGCCAUUGUUAUCAUGAAUCGACCAUUUAUGAACAUUGCUAAUAUAGUUAAAGCAAAGUCGAUGAAGUGGAGAAAUUCGUUUACUGCAGUGUGUGAAUGAUAAAUAUGUUUUGAAUUGCAUGGAAAUUUCAUAUGAUAGGUAGACACUGCUCGUGCUUUAUAGAAUAGUGGGCUAGAGAAUUCUGGUAGGUAGACGCUACUCACGCUUUUAUGUUUGAACUAAAAUGGAAUAUUUUACAAUUCUUAAGUUUAGAGAAUUUAGUGUUACAAUUCUUAAAAGUUUGGAGAUUUGAGUUUACUUGGGUUGGACCAUAUUCUUCUUAUAUCUAUUUUAUCUUUUGAUUAUUUUUUACUUGUUAUGUACCUUAGCAGCAUUCAGAAGUGCUUGCACUGAGCAUUUUUUAAUAUUUUUUUAUUUGAGAAGAGGAUGUUUUGAUUUUUGUGCAGGAGAAUGGUAAUGGAACUUCUAGGGAUAAUUCUAGAGUGGUGGAUGGUGAAACCGAGGACUUCUGUACCAAACUAGAAAUAUCUAGUAAAAAAUCAGGCAUUGAUCAUUACAGCAAUGAGGAAAGUAAUCUUGUAAAAACUGAUGCAAUGAGUAAGUUUCUACUUUGCGAUCUGUAAAUUUUCAUGUAUUUGAAUAAUUGGCUUUGCCCCACCCCAUGCCACCAGCACCACCAUGAACACAUGUACCGUAUACCCACAGAGUUAAGGUUGGGUGGGGGUGGGGGGGAUUUACUGUCAUAUCUGACCACUUGUAUUUCAUUGCUAUAAGCGUAGCCCCAGAUGUUAUCAAUAUGAGGAUUGUUGUUUUGUGUAUCUGUUUUAGGCUUCUUCUCCUUAUAUCUAUGGCAUACACUUGACUAUACUAGUUUCAUACUAGUUUCAUAUCCUUGUGUUGCUAUUAAACCUUAAAAUCCAAUUAUUCAAAGUUUUGGGAUGCAUUUGUAAUGAUGCUUGGUUCAUGAUUUAUGGAAUGCCAAUAGAGAGUAGCACAUAUGGGUUUGUGGUACGUUUUUUUUUAACUGAUGUUUCAGUUAUUAUGAGUUCUUGAAGGACUAAUAUGUAUAUAUUAAUCUAUGUUGUAGGUACUCAGAUUGAACAUUAAAUAGAGCAACUAGAUUCAAGGGUUUGAAUUUCCAAUUAUUAUUAGGAUUACUUUUAUAGCAACAUCAAUUUAUUAGCAACAUCAAAUAGAGUAACUAGAUUCAUAUGUUGAAUGUACUCAG
Camellia sinensis is the source of this 3040-nucleotide non-coding RNA. The record is from RefSeq and is a predicted model, not a curated record. NCBI's taxonomy places the organism in Eukaryota, Viridiplantae, Streptophyta, Magnoliopsida, Ericales, Theaceae.